GACGAACGCUGGCGGCGCGCCUAACACAUGCAAGUCCAACGAGAGAUGAGGAGCUUGCUCUUCAAAUCGAGUGGCGAACGGGUGAGUAACGCGUGAGGAACCUGCCUCAAAGAGGGGGACAACAGUUGGAAACGACUGCUAAUACCGCAUAAGCCCACGGCUCGGCAUCGAGCAGAGGGAAAAGGAGCAAUCCGCUUUGAGAUGGCCUCGCGUCCGAUUAGCUAGUUGGUGAGGUAACGGCCCACCAAGGCGACGAUCGGUAGCCGGACUGAGAGGUUGAACGGCCACAUUGGGACUGAGACACGGCCCAGACUCCUACGGGAGGCAGCAGUGGGGAAUAUUGCACAAUGGGGGAAACCCUGAUGCAGCGACGCCGCGUGGAGGAAGAAGGUCUUCGGAUUGUAAACUCCUGUUGUUGAGGAAGAUAAUGACGGUACUCAACAAGGAAGUGACGGCUAACUACGUGCCAGCAGCCGCGGUAAAACGUAGGUCACAAGCGUUGUCCGGAAUUACUGGGUGUAAAGGGAGCGCAGGCGGGAGAACAAGUUGGAAGUGAAAUCCAUGGGCUCAACCCAUGAACUGCUUUCAAAACUGUUUUUCUUGAGUAGUGCAGAGGUAGGCGGAAUUCCCGGUCUAGCGGGUGGAAUGCGUAGAUAUCGGGAGGAACACCAGUGGCGAAGGCGGCCUACUGGGCACCAACUGACGCUGAGGCUCGAAAGUGUGGGUAGCAAACAGGAUUAGAUACCCUGGUAGUCCACACCGUAAACGAUGAUUACUAGGUGUUGGAGGAUUGACCCCUUCAGUGCCGCAGUUAACACAAUAAGUAAUCCACCUGGGGAGUACGACCGCAAGGUUGAAACUCAAAGGAAUUGACGGGGGCCCGCACAAGCAGUGGAGUAUGUGGUUUAAUUCGACGCAACGCGAAGAACCUUACCAAGUCUUGACAUCCCUUGACGAUGCUGGAAACAGUAUUUCUCUUCGGAGCAAGGAGACAGGUGGUGCAUGGUUGUCGUCAGCUCGUGUCGUGAGAUGUUGGGUUAAGUCCCGCAACGAGCGCAACCCUUAUGGUCAGUUACUACGCAAGAGGACUCUGGCCAGACUGCCGUUGACAAAACGGAGGAAGGUGGGGAUGACGUCAAAUCAUCAUGCCCUUUAUGACUUGGGCUACACACGUACUACAAUGGCGUUAAACAAAGAGAAGCAAGACCGCGAGGUGGAGCAAAACUCAGAAACAACGUCCCAGUUCGGACUGCAGGCUGCAACUCGCCUGCACGAAGUCGGAAUUGCUAGUAAUCGUGGAUCAGCAUGCCACGGUGAAUACGUUCCCGGGCCU
Molecule: ribosomal RNA, 1333 nt
Filed under: uncultured bacterium
Lineage: Bacteria
Description: bacterial SSU rRNA
Rfam family: Bacterial small subunit ribosomal RNA
Source: RNAcentral